This 430-nucleotide ribosomal RNA is filed under the name uncultured bacterium. Its description in RNAcentral is "partial 16S ribosomal RNA". It matches the Rfam family "Bacterial small subunit ribosomal RNA", at positions 29 to 506 of the family's 1533-position model. The record is from RNAcentral.
AACGAACGCUGGCGGCAGGCUUAACACAUGCAAGUCGAGCGCCCCGCAAGGGGAGCGGCAGACGGGUGAGUAACGCGUGGGAACGUACCUUUUGGUUCGGAACAACUCCGGGAAACUGGAGCUAAUACCGGAUAAGCCCUAACGGGGAAAGAUUUAUCGCCGAAAGAUCGGCCCGCGUCUGAUUAGCUAGUUGGUGAGGUAACGGCUCACCGAGGCGACGAUCAGUAGCUGGUCUGAGAGGAUGAUCAGCCACACUGGGACUGAGACACGGCCCAGACUCCUACGGGAGGCAGCAGUGGGGAAUAUUGGACAAUGGGCGCAAGCCUGAUCCAGCCAUGCCGCGUGAGUGAUGAAGGCCUUAGGGUUGUAAAGCUCUUUUGUCCGGGAAGAUAAUGACUGUACCGGAAGAAUAAGCCCCGGCGAACUGCGU